This 490-nucleotide ribosomal RNA is filed under the name uncultured bacterium. RNAcentral's name for it is "partial 16S ribosomal RNA". It matches the Rfam family "Bacterial small subunit ribosomal RNA", at positions 28 to 507 of the family's 1533-position model. The record is from RNAcentral.
GAUGAACGCUAGCUACAGGCUUAACACAUGCAAGUCGCGGGGCAGCAUGGGGGUUGCUUGCAAUCCCCGAUGGCGACCGGCGCACGGGUGAGUAACGCGUAUCCAACCUGCCCUUCACCACGGGAUAACCCGGCGAAAGUCGGGCUAAUACCGUAUGUUGUCCAUUGACGGCAUCCGAUUUGGACGAAAGGUUUGGCGGUGAAGGAUGGGGAUGCGUCCGAUUAGCUGGACGGCGGGGUGACGGCCCACCGUGGCGACGAUCGGUAGGGGUUCUGAGAGGAAGGUCCCCCACACUGGAACUGAGACACGGUCCAGACUCCUACGGGAGGCAGCAGUGAGGAAUAUUGGUCAAUGGGCGUAAGCCUGAACCAGCCAAGUAGCGUGCAGGAUGACGGCCCUAUGGGUUGUAAACUGCUUUUAUGCGGGGAUAAAGUGGCCCACGUGUGGGUUUUUGCAGGUACCGCAUGAAUAAGGACCGGCUAAUUCCGUG